AAAAAAAUUUGCCCUGAUUUUUUCCAAAAUUUCCCACCUAAAACCCAAAAACGAAAAAACCCCAAAUUUCCCCCUAAAAUGGAGGCACCAAGACGAUUCAUCUUCUUUGAUGAGAGUAGCAGUGUGAGGAAUAUUGAAUUUUGGUGAGAGUAAGAGAAGUGGGAAUGGGAAUUUGUUCACAGGAAACUCUCCGUUCACCGUGGAGAACAAGAAAAGGUCGCCUAAUUCAAGAGGGAGCAACAGCUAUGCUUUUGUUUACUUCAGGUGUAAUUUUACCUUCAUCUGGUGUAGUGAAGAGCCUGAAAAGAGGCCUCGAAAAUGGGGGAGAAAACCGGCUAACGGAAGAGAAGAGCCUCUAAAUCAUGUUGAAGCGAAGCGUCAAAGAAGGGAGAAGCUUAACCAGAAGCUUUUUGGUGUCUGUGACCCAGUAUUUAUUUUCUUGGAUGAUUGAUUUUUAUUUUGCAGGUGUGAUUGUGUUCUAUAAAUUGGCCGUGGUUGAGGGAAUGAGCAUGAGAGCACUCAUUGCUUACAGAUUCAUCUUCGCCACUGCUUGUUUUGAUACCAGAAUAAUUCAAGAACUUAAUCUUUGGUCAGCCAACAUAAACAUAGUCAAACAUGGUGGACACCAUCAUACUAGCACCAAACAUGCUGCUGUUGGCGAUCAAGUCUUAGGCUCCUUGUUGGCUUUAGCUUCUUGCCUAGCUAUACGUGAGAGAAAGCCUCCAUUGAAAAGACUCCUGACAAUGUUUUUGGGGUACCAUGUCAUCAAAACUUGAACAGACACACACAAGAAAAAGGUAAGGAAUUUGGAGGAAAGACAUGCAAAUCUUGUCAUGGACUUGGUAAGAAUCUUUGGGGAUUGAAUUUCAUAGUAAUUUGUAAUUUUCUUAAUGUUAUGAUCAUCCAAUAGUUGAAUGAAAUGUAGGGUAAAUUAAAGGCUUCAUCAUUUUAUCUUCCUUUUCUACCUUGUUUUAAGAUUCUUUGUUGCACUUAACGGCAUGAAACCUUGCAUUAGUAGCUGUAAUUGUUCAUGGGUUAGAAAGACAAGUGCCAAAAUAGGAUUUGAGAAGUUUUAAACUAUGAUGCAAAUAUGAUUAGGUUUGCAUAUAAAUAGCAUUCAGAUAGGCUUCAGAAGAACAAAUAGCAAAAGUCUUAACAAGGUUGCAAUGUCUCUGCUGAUUGUUCUGUGGUGGAUUAUAUGAUAGGAAGUUGACGACAGCUGCAUAUGUUUAAUAUUUGAAUACUCCUUUUUUCAUCGAAGAUGUUAGUAUCUUGAUUUCUGUUUUCUUUUUCUAAUAUUUCAUUGUUAUCUAUUACAGGAUAAGAUGCAAUGAGUUGCAUAGAAGAGGCUUUUAGCUUUUGAGAAGUAAAACGCACAGCAUUUCUUCCCCACCCCCUUUUUUAUGAUUUAAAUUUCAGCCAUGGUAGAAGGUUCAUCGAAUUGGGCACUACCACUCUAGGAAUUUACUAUUUUUUAAUUAAGAAAAUAUGAUCUCUUGAUUUAUGGUACAAGAAAUGGUUUCUUAAUUUUAAUUUCAUUGAUUUUGGAUAUUGACAUUUUUGGUUCUAAUGAGUAUAAAUAUCAUAUGAACUGGAAUAAGUUGAGCAGUUACGUGGACUGCCAUCAAUAUGCCCAACUCCAAUAUGCCAUCAAUAUUGUUUUUCGUGUUCCAAUGUUUGGAAGCCGAGUAUUGGAUUAUAGCUUGACUUUUAUAAAUUAUAUGACAAAAUAAUGUUUCUGGUGCAUAUUUUGGAUCUCAAGCACUUUGGUGUGAAGUGCAUUCAUACAAUAAGAUUUCAGUUUAAAUCCGAAUGCAAUUGUUUAUUAUUGUUAACGGAUAUGUCUUGUUUUUCCGUGAACAGCAUGGGAGCUUUUCUUCUUAGUGUGGGAACUAAAGGAAAACGGUAUAGUUUACCUAAUUCACGGGUAAUGAUACAUCAGCCUCUUGGUGGAGCUGAAGGAGGUCAAACUGAUAUUGAUAUUCAGCUGCUGUAGUUAUGCAAAGAGAAUGGGGCCUGCCAAUAAUAAUGAGCAUGUAGGCACUAAAUCUGCAGUUCAAAUUCGAAGCCAUGCUCAAAAGUUUUUCUCUAAGUCUCAUUGCUUUGAGUUCAUUACAAGAUUUCCUUGAUUAAGUAGAUGUGUUAUAUCUUUUAUUACCAAGGUUUACUUGAUUAAGAAAAUGCAUUGUAUUUUUUAUUACCUUGCAAUGUGUAUAGUCAUAGGCAGGUUCAACUAGUUAGUCUAUUUCUCAUAUGUAUUAUUUAUUUUAGUUUUGAUUCUAAAUUUUUAUUUUUACUUUAAUAUUUAGGACAACUUGAGUUCUAA
This is a long non-coding RNA of Gossypium raimondii (Peruvian cotton), 2326 nucleotides long. RefSeq lists it as uncharacterized. NCBI's taxonomy places the organism in Eukaryota, Viridiplantae, Streptophyta, Magnoliopsida, Malvales, Malvaceae. The transcript is spliced from 7 exons. The record is from RefSeq and is a predicted model, not a curated record.